UGGGGAAUAUUGCACAAUGGGCGCAAGCCUGAUGCAGCCAUGCCGCGUGUAUGAAGAAGGCCUUCGGGUUGUAAAGUACUUUCAGCGGGGAGGAAGGGAGUAAAGUUAAUACCUUUGCUCAUUGACGUUACCCGCAGAAGAAGCACCGGCUAACUCCGUGCCAGCAGCCGCGGUAAUACGGAGGGUGCAAGCGUUAAUCGGAAUUACUGGGCGUAAAGCGCACGCAGGCGGUUUGUUAAGUCAGAUGUGAAAUCCCCGGGCUCAACCUGGGAACUGCAUCUGAUACUGGCAAGCUUAGUCUCGUAGAGGGGGGUAGAAUUCCAGGUGUAGCGGUGAAAUGCGUAGAGAUCUGGAGGAAUACCGGUGGCGAAGGCGGCCCCCUGGACGAAGACUGACGCUCAGGUGCGAAAGCGUGGGGAGCAAACAGG
This 428-nucleotide ribosomal RNA is filed under the name Chloroflexota bacterium. RNAcentral's name for it is "Chloroflexi bacterium partial 16S ribosomal RNA". It matches the Rfam family "Bacterial small subunit ribosomal RNA", at positions 355 to 776 of the family's 1533-position model. The record is from RNAcentral. Lineage: Bacteria; Bacillati; Chloroflexota.